CAUGCACCUUCCACAGUAGGAGGCCCGGAUGCAAGACGGGAAAGCAAGCAGGCUUCUCACUUACUAAGGCAGCAAAUAAUUUGUUAAGCGCAUAUUGUUACUAAGAUAUUGUAGAGGUGGGAGGUGGGGAAGAAUCCACAGAGAAGUGGAACCCUCAUUGUUGUCUCUCAAGGAACUUUCCAUUCAGUUGGGAACACAUAUGACGUAAUGAAACUCCUGAAUGUAGGGCGUGGAGACAUUGAUGAGUUGGUGCUCGAUCUGAGAAACAGUGGAGAGCCGCUCUCCACAUUUAACCAUCCCCAAAUGGUGCCAGUCGUCUAAAGACAUGCCUGAACAAGUGACAGUGUUUGACAGACCUUAUAUCUCCUUUCUAUCACACCAAAAUCUCUGUAGUGAGCUCAGGCAAUGUUUUGACCUGCUGGUGUGCUGAUGCACUUCAGGAUAAAAAGAAUUGGUCCACAUUGUAGCAAUAACUUCCAGGAAGAAACGAGUGGUUGUGGAGCUGAUAAGUGGUAGCAGGUUGACUCCAAAGCCUAGCGUCUUAACCUCUAUCAUACACCGUUUCUCAAUCAAAAUGGAAGAACCAUUUUAAACACAUUAAACCCUAGUGGCUUUAAAU
RNAcentral lists this long non-coding RNA (619 nucleotides) under Homo sapiens (human). RNAcentral describes it as "HSALNT0071614". Lineage: Eukaryota; Metazoa; Chordata; Mammalia; Primates; Hominidae. The record is from RNAcentral.